This 449-nucleotide ribosomal RNA is filed under the name uncultured prokaryote. RNAcentral's name for it is "bacterial SSU rRNA". It matches the Rfam family "Bacterial small subunit ribosomal RNA", at positions 355 to 796 of the family's 1533-position model. The record is from RNAcentral.
CUAAGAAUCUUCCGCAAUGGACGAAAGUCUGACGGAGCGACGCCGCGUGGGCGAAGAAGGCCGUGAGGUUGUAAAGCCCUUUUCUACCUGAGGAAUAAGCCCCCGAGGGAAUGCGGGGGUGAUGACGGUAGGGUAGGAAGAAGCCCCGGCUAAUUACGUGCCAGCAGCCGCGGUAACACGUAUGGGGCGAGCGUUGUUCGGAAUUAUUGGGCGUAAAGGGCGCGUAGGCGGAUGGACAAGUCUGGUGUGAAAGACCGCAGCUCAACUGCGGAAGCGCGCUGGAAACUGUUGAUCUUGAAUCCUUGAGGGGGAACUGGAAUUCCUGGUGUAGGGGUGAAAUCUGUAGAUAUCAGGAAGAACACCGGUGGCGAAGGCGAGUUCCUGGCAAGUGAUUGACGCUGAGGCGCGAAAGCGUGGGGAGCGAACAGGAUUAGAUACCCCCGUAGUCC